CCAGUCCUGUGCCUGCCGCCUUUGUGCUGUCCUUGGAGGGAGGCAGAAGCAGGAUGACAA
Molecule: microRNA precursor, 60 nt
Filed under: Homo sapiens (human)
Lineage: Eukaryota; Metazoa; Chordata; Mammalia; Primates; Hominidae
Description: Hsa-Mir-1910_pre stem-loop
Rfam family: mir-1910 microRNA precursor family
Source: RNAcentral